UAUUGGUUCUGUGGUCCAGUUGCAUUCAGUUCUGUAUUUCGAUAUAUUAUCUUUUUAAGGGUGGAAUCUGGAGGAGAUGAAGAAAAGUGCAGAUUGCAACAUGCCAACUCGUAAAGGGAGGCGAGGAAGCAUCCUCAACGGUAGAACAUACACUCAGUUUUGCAUCCAAAGGAAUCGUGCCCGUUAUUAAACAAAAAUAGGCAGCAAGUUCCAGACCAGUAUGGACUGCAUGGAGGUUCGGUCAUUAGCACUGCUGCCUCAAAGCGUCAGGGACGCAGAUGUUGCCAGACCUGUCGCGUUUCUCCAGCAGUCUUAGUUAAAAUCAACUUGUUUGACCGCAUUACAACCCCACAUUCUGUAACCAGAUGGUCCUGAUGUAGGACCUAGACUUUUAUCUUGAUUCAAUAAGAUCUGUUGGUGAGAGAGCCACCUACCGAGUGAAUGCUUACACUUGCAGUCACCUUCAACCUGAUCAUUUCUCUGGAAUAUUAAUACCGUCUAGUUCCAAACAUUCAUUUGGAUGCACAAACUGAACAAAGGAGAGUCCUCCACUUUGUCCUUCGGGGAUGUGUACACUGAUAAAGAUGUAGAAUUGGACCCUCCCUAUCUGGGACUAUUGCCAGGUCUGAUAUUAAAAUUGCAACAACCUUCAUGGAUUCAAAAAAAAAAGUGUUAAUCAACACAUAUUUUAUUGCGGGGAAGGAAGAAAUGUUAUGAAAGCAUUUCAUCAUAUUAUCAUUUAAUACCCACAACCUUCCAUUUACAGCCACACUGUAGGAGGCAGUGGUGUGGUGGGAACGUCUUUGAUCUGGCUCAUCCAGAACCCCAACUUAAGGGGUAUGGGUUCAAAUCCGAACAUGGAAGAUGGAGAAACUUGAAUUCAGUAGUUUCAAGAAGCUGGAAUAAAGACCUAGCCUCAAGGCAUGUUACCAUAAACCCAUCUGGCUCACCAAGUCCUUAUUGGAAGAAAUCAUCUGUCUGUCCAUACCUGGCCUGGCUACAAAUCCACAGCAAUGUCAUUGACUCUUAACUACCCUCC
Chiloscyllium plagiosum (whitespotted bambooshark) is the source of this 1039-nucleotide non-coding RNA. Lineage: Eukaryota; Metazoa; Chordata; Chondrichthyes; Orectolobiformes; Hemiscylliidae. The record is from RefSeq and is a predicted model, not a curated record.